UACUUUUUUUUUUUUCCUCCUGCUACUU
Molecule: non-coding RNA, 28 nt
Filed under: Rattus norvegicus (Norway rat)
Lineage: Eukaryota; Metazoa; Chordata; Mammalia; Rodentia; Muridae
Source: RNAcentral